Long non-coding RNA from Gossypium arboreum, 492 nucleotides. RefSeq lists it as uncharacterized. The transcript is spliced from 2 exons. Lineage: Eukaryota; Viridiplantae; Streptophyta; Magnoliopsida; Malvales; Malvaceae. The record is from RefSeq and is a predicted model, not a curated record.
UGUAAGUAGAAUGAAAAAUAAUGAAGAGAAGUCUGACCUUAAAAAAUAUCUACAACAUUUUAUUCUUGCUUGAAAACCUCCUAUAAAUAGGAUGCAUUUCUUUAUUUUUGAACAAAUUAAAAUACAUAAUUAAAAGCAUUAAGAGGGAGAGAAUGGCAAAACAAGAAGUUGCAUAUAUUAUGGUUCAACAAAUUUUGAGCAUAAUAUGCUUGAUUUUAAUAUCGAAUUUAGGGGCAAUGGCAGUGGAUCCUUCAAAUAUACCACAUUGCUUGGGACCUUGUUCAACAAUUGAAAACUGUUUCCAUGACUGUGUUGCCCAAGGUUUCUCCAAGGGAGGUACCUGCAUAGGAAUUAGGCUAGCAUAUAUGGAUUGUUGUUGCAAAUGGAGUUGAAAUCCACCCUUUUUCCCAUUAAUGUCUUAUCUCCAUCUUCAUAACUUGUUCUUGAGAUUUUAUCAAUUAAUAAAGUGAUCUACAUUAUAUUUGUUUAUCA